AUGGAUCACCCGUCCACUCUGGUUCCUGCACGCCGCCCGUACCCGCCUGGCGACUGCUCGCUAACCGCUCUUACUGCAGAGGCUGAUCGCC
RNAcentral lists this small RNA (91 nucleotides) under Xanthomonas vesicatoria. RNAcentral describes it as "sX9". The stretch from base 1 to 66 matches the Rfam family "Xanthomonas sRNA sX9". Lineage: Bacteria; Pseudomonadati; Pseudomonadota; Gammaproteobacteria; Lysobacterales; Lysobacteraceae. The record is from RNAcentral.